GGGUCAAGCUUUUUCGGUUAGGGACAAGAAAGAGAUGCGAUAAGAGGAGAGAGAUGGAGACCAAUCGCCCGCUGAUCUCCGGCCACUUGGCGGGGGGACAAUGCGCACCUCACUCCACCGAAAUUCUUCCUGUGUUUUGCUGAGAUAAGAUUAAGAGAAGGGAAAAGCGAAGGAUUUCAAGGACUGAUGCUAACGUGCGCCGUGGUGUAGGAUAUUGACAUCAUAACAUGCCCGUAGUCACUAGAGCGUAGGUUCGGAGAGAAGAG
Molecule: unclassified non-coding RNA, 266 nt
Filed under: Hevea brasiliensis (rubber tree)
Lineage: Eukaryota; Viridiplantae; Streptophyta; Magnoliopsida; Malpighiales; Euphorbiaceae
Source: RNAcentral